CACAGGGUGCUAUGGAAACGCAGAGGGAGGGCACCUAACCUGGAUGGGACAGGCUUGAGAGGAGGAGUGUUCCAGAAAGACUUCCUGGCAGAGGUGGUAUCUGACCUGGGUUAGCCUGUGAGCUGCAAUGGAGGAAUUACGGAGCCAAUGCCUUUUCCUACGAAUUCCGUGGAUUUCCCUCCAUCCCACUUUGGAACUUACCACUCAAAACCAUGGGGUGCAUGAAGGGAUGGAUUUCACUGAGAUUCACCUGUUACACACCAGGUCCUGCACUCACAUUCUGGGAAACAGUGGCGGACGCGGCAGUCUCCAGCUCUCGAGCAGCCUACAGUCUAGAGGACCUGGUCCGGUUAUAACCCCAACGGAAAGAGGAUAGUGUUACAAAAACAAUUUUCCUGUGUUUGUGUCAUAGAUGCCUUUAAGAAAACAAUGGAAACUGAAAACCCUGGCCCCAGAAGAAGCAAAUAGAUAGACAAACACAAGAAUGUCUAGAGGUGACAGAGAGGCUCAGGGGAAGAUCAAGUUUAAGUGCUAGGCAGAGGCAGUAAGGUUCAAAGACAGGUUGGAUGGUGGGCAUGAAAAUGCUGUGCUAAGGGAUGUCUGAAUGAAGGCCAGAGUGGUCACAGCUUAGGGGAUGGGAUAAGAUGGAGUUAGAGAGAUGGGCAAAGACCUUGUGCCCCAGGGCAAGAAGUUAGGAUUUACCUCAAGCAUAAAAAACAAGCCAUUUUCUCCUUCCUUCCUUCCUUCCUUCCUUCCUUCCUUCCUUCCUUCCUUCCUUCCUUCCUUCCUUCCUUCCUUCCUUCCUUUUUCAUUCUUUCUUCUCUCUCUCUCUCUUUCUUUCCUUCGUCUCCUUUUGUCACCAGGCUGGUGUGGAAUGGUGUGAUCUCAGUUCACUGCAACCUCCACCUCCUGGGUUCAAGUGAUUCUCUUGCCUCAGCCUCCCGAGUAGCUGGGACAAGUGUGCAACACCACAUCCAGCUAAUUUUUGUAUUUGUAGUAGAGACAGGGUUUUACCCUAUUAGUCAGGCUGGCCUUGAACUCCUGAUUUCAAGUGAUCCACCUGCCUUGGCCUCCCAAAGUGUUGGGAUUACAGGCAUGAGCCACCUUACCUGGCCAUUUCUCUUUUCUAAGUUUAGAAUUUUAAAUUUGCACAAAUGGAAGCAGUGUGCACCUUCUUUUGAUGUCUCACCUCUUCUGACAAUGUUUUAUAGGUACAACUUUAGUUAAUUUCUUUUUACUUACUAUAUAGAAUUAUAUGGCACACACACAUAUUUUAUUCAUCCAUUCUCAUAUUGGUAGAUACUUAGGUCAUACCGUGUUUUUUAUUAUUACAACUGAUUCUGAAGUGGAAAAUUAAUAGGUUGCAGGGUGUGCCUAUUUUCAGCAUUAUAAGUUGUCACUUGGUUCUUCAAAGUUGUCAUGCUACUUUAUAUUCCCAAUGGCAGCACCCAAACAUCCCAUUUCUUUAUAUCCUUGCCAACAACUGGUAGAGUCAGCCUUUAAAGUUUUUGACUGUGUUUUGGAUACAAAAUGGUAACUCGUUUUUAUUUGUAUUUCCCUGAUUACCAGCGAGGUUAAACAUGUAAUUUUCCAUUUAUUGGCUUUUCUCUUGUGAAUUGUCUUGGAAUUUCUUCUCUUGUGAAUACAGUCCGUAUCCCUCGCCCAGUUUUCUAAAAGGUUGUUUUUUUCUAACUGAGUGGUGGGAGUUGUUUAUAUAUCGAAUUACUAAUCCAUUGUCUUUCAUAAAUGCUCUAAAUAGCCCACGCUCUUUACUGGAAGGUUUUAAGGAGAGGAGUGAUACUUGAUUUACAUGGUUAAAACAUCAAUCUGGCUAUGAUAUGAAGAGUUGAAGGGCGAGGUGGGCGUGAAUGGAAGAGGGGAAACCAGUUUGGAGGUCAUGAUAGUGGUCCAGGCAGCGAUGAUGGUGGUUUGGACUAGGGUGAUAGGAGCGGAAGUAGAGAAAAGUGGCAGUUCCAGGGUCCGCGUUGGAGCCAGAGCUGUCAGCACUUGCUGAUGAGAAGAGGGUGAGGAGAAGAGAUAGGAAUCAGGAUGACUCUUGGUUUUUGGCCUGAACAACUGGGUGGAUGUGGUACCACUGACUGGGAUGGAGAAUGACAAGUGGAGAAACAGGUUGAGGCUGGCAAUGGAGGAAUCAAUAGUUAUGUUUUGAAUACAUUAAGCUUGAGACAGCUUGUUGAUAACCCAGUAGUUAUGUCAAGUAGGCAGUUGGAUAUAUGAGUCUGGAGUUCAGGGCCCCAGCCACGGCUAUGGAUAAACAUCUGGGAGUCAUCGAUAUGUGGAUGGAAUUUAAACCGUGAGUCUGGAUAAGAUGGAAAAGGUAUGGGGUUCUCAGUUGAGCCUCAGUACAUGACAGUAUUUUGGGGCCGAGCAGAAGUGGAGAAUCAAUAAGGAAGACUUGGCCCAGAAAGUCACUCUAUGAGGGCAGGAGUUUUGCUCCUGCAUAAGGCUUGGCACACAGAAGGCUCCUAGUACAUACUUGCAGAAAGAACACAUGAAAAAACAAAUACAUGAAAGAAGAGACUGAGAAGUGGCUAGUGAGGCAGGAGGAGGAGCAUAAGGCACCAUGGAAGCCAAGAGAAAGAGAAAGCUUUGAAGAGGGUGGGAAUGGUCAAUUAUGUUGAAUGUUGUCAAGAGCUGGACAGAGAAGUAACCCCUGGAUCUGGCAACACAGAGGCCACUGGUGACCUUGACAGGGCCAGCUGGGGCUGGAUGGAUGAAGAAUUUGCCAGGUCC
Callithrix jacchus (white-tufted-ear marmoset) is the source of this 2754-nucleotide long non-coding RNA. RefSeq lists it as uncharacterized. NCBI's taxonomy places the organism in Eukaryota, Metazoa, Chordata, Mammalia, Primates, Cebidae. The record is from RefSeq and is a predicted model, not a curated record.